UUUACUACUAUAACCCAAAGAAACACAUUGAAUAAGUAAUUCAUAAAUGGAAAAAAUACAUUCAAAAUAUAGAUCAUAAGGAAUAAGGUUUUGAAGUGGCUGUCCUAUAUCUAGAAUAUAUAAGAAAGCUCAGGAUUGAGAUGCAGCCCAUGCAACAAAAAAAACAUCUCUAUCUUAAACUGACAAAUAUGGAUGGGGAUUUUUGUAUUACAUUAGAUUGACGCACGUGUCCACCAAUAGACUCUGUCUCCUCCCCUUCAUCUACACUGAUUGAAAUGACAUCAAUAAGGGAGCAUAGCUUUCACCUGGAUUCACCUGGUCAGUCUAUGUCAUGGAAAGAGUUCCUAAAGUUUUGUACACGCCGUGUAUAUCAGUUGUUUAGCUGGAAUGGAAUGUUCAUAUCCUGUACACUCACAGUUUAUUAGGUACACCACCCUAUUCACGGAAAUGUAUCACUCCUACAGACAAUGAGUCACGUGGCCGUGGCUCACGAUAUAAAGCAGGCAGACAGGCAUUGAAGCAUUCCGUUACUGUUCGAUUGAACGUUAGACUGGGCAAAACCAGUGAACUAAGCGACUUUAUGCGUGGUAUGAUCGUCAGUGCCAGGUACGCCGGAUCCAGCAUCUCAGAAACGGCCUCCCCACUGGGCUUUUCACGCACGACAGUGUCUAGGGUGUGACAGAGAAUGCUGUGACAAAAAAACAUCCAGUCAGCGGCAGUCCUGUGGGAGAAAACAGCUCGUUGAUGAGGGUUUGAAGGAAAAUGGCAAGAAUUGUGUACACUAACAGGAAAAUAACAGCGCAGUACAACAGUGGUAUGCAGAUCGGCAUCUCAUAACGCACGACUCGUCAGUCCUUGUCAGCAGACGGCCACACCGGGUUCCACUACUAUCAGCUAAAAACAAGAAGAAGCGGCUCCAGUGGACACGCGAUAACCAACACUGGAAAAUUGAGGAGUGGAAAAACAUUGCCUGGUCUGACGAAUCUUGGUUCCUGAUGAGUCAUGCUGAUGGCAGAGUCAGGAUUUGGCAUAAGCAGCAUGAGUCUAUCCUGUCUGCAGUCAACGGUACAGGCUGGUGGCGGUCGUGUCAUGAGUGUCAGGAGUCUUUGAAGCGUCAUCUGAAGCCCCCUCCUGCUGUUCAAAGACCAUUCACUGGCAUUUUCUACAAGAAAUCUGCCUCCAGAAAUAAAAGCUUCUCCCAGAAUCAUCUUAACCAGAAUGGAGCGCUCACAGCUUCUCACUGCUGGCUGUCUGGCAGCACUCUGAGCCUUGACAGUUAGUGUUGGCUGGCCACCCAUGCUGUCACUGUAAGUCUUUCCCUCCAAUGGAGAGCCAGCUGGCCUGGCUGAGACUGAUUCACAUUCCACCACCAGCACACUGGAGACUGCGAGAACUCUUGGAGGACAGAGGAGAGGAGGGAAGGGCAGGGGAGGAGUAGACAGGGGAGGGGGGGAUAGGGGAUGGCAUGAGAGGAGAUCGCAGCAAACAGGGGACAGCCUGAGAACGUUCGGCAACGUUCCCAUUAGGUCCCUUUAGGUUUUCGCCGCAACAUUAUCCCACUGAGAAUGUAGCGUGAUGGUCCCAAGGGAACGUUCUCUGGGGGACCUUUGUGCAGUUCCCUGUAAGUUCCCAAGACGUCACUAAGGACCAUGUCAGGAACUUUUUGACGUUCUCAUGACUUUCAUUUUACUAGUCAUUAGGACGUUGCGUGAUGGUCCCAAAGGAUCUCUGGGGGACAUUUUUAUAGUUCCCAGGUUUGUUCCGGGACGUUUUUAAGACUUUCUUGGGACAUUGUGUCAUGGUCCCUUCAAGGUACCCUGAAUGUUCAUGGGAUAUUCUCUCAUGGUCCCCUGGAAGUUUUCUCUAAUUCCUAGUUUGUCCCCUGGACGUCACCGAGGACGUUUUUAUGACGUUCCUGGGUAGUUGUGUUAUGGUCCCCUGAAGGUCUCCUGAACCUACUUGGGACGGUGUGUCAUGGUCCCUGGAGGUUUUUGUAACGUGAUGGUCUCAUGUGUCCCAAACCAUUAUAAGUAAAUUAAUGAAAUGAUAUGGAGAUUUUAAGGUAAGUAGUAGGAUGUACAGCUAUAAAGUGUAAAAUCUUUAAUCAAUGACAAUAUAAUUACAUUUGACAUGAUCACUUAGUACUGACUUUUCAAUAUGACCACAUGUAACUCAAAACCUCUGGAUUUGGGGUACGCUGACAUUUCUGUUGCGCACAGUGUGUAGAAUUUCUGAUGUCCCCUACACAUUCAUUACUUAUAAUACAUACAGUGCAUUUGAAACUAUUGAGACCCAUUCACCUUUUCCACAGCCUUAUUCUAAAAUGGAUUGAAUGAAACAAAAUCCUCAUCAAUCUACAUACAAUAAUGACAAAGCAAAAACAUUUUUUUUUUCUGCAAAUGUAUUAAAAAUAAAUAAAAAAAUACCUUAUUUAAAUAAAUAUUCAGACCCUUUGCUAUGACUCGAAAUUGAGCUCAGGUGCAUCCUGUUUCCAUUGAUCAUCCUUGAGAUGUUUCUACAACUUGAUUGGGGUCCACCUGUGGUAAAUUGAAUUGAUUGGACAUGAUUUGGAAACACCUGUCUCUAUAAGGUCCCACAUUUGACAGUGUAUGUGUCACGUCCUGACCAUAGAAAGCUGUUAUUUUCUAUGGUAGAGUAGGUCAGGGCGUGACAGGGGGGUGUUCUAGUUUAGUUUUUCUAUGUUGUCAGGUUCUAGUUUUGUAUAUCUAUGUUGGGUUUUGUUUGGGAUGAUCUCCAAUUAGAGGCAGCUGGUCCUCCUUGUCUCUAAUUGGAGAUCAUACUUAAGUAGGGUUUUUUUCCACCUGAGUUUGUGGGAGAUUGUCUUUGAGUCAGUGUUUGUUUCACCUCUGCGUCACGGUUUGUUGUUUUGUUAUUCAGUUUAUUUAUAUGUAUUGCAUAGUUUCACAUUGAAAAUAAAAUGUGGAACGACACACACGCUGCACUUUGGUCCGCUCUUCCUACGACAGCCGUGACAGAAUCUCUCACCACCAAAGGACCAAGCAUCGUACCCAGGAGAAACAGGAAUGGACCUGGGAGGAAAUUCUGGACGGGAAAGGACCCUGGAGUCAGGCUGGGGAGUAUCGCCGUCCGAAAGAGGAGAUUGAGGCAGCGAAAGCGGACCGGCGAUAUUACGAGGCACUAUACCAACUACGAGGCAAGUGCGAGAGGCAGCCCCCAAAAUUGUUUUUGGGGGGGGCACACGGGGAGAUUGGCAGAGUCAGGGUGGAGACCUGAGCCAACUCCCCGGGCUUACUGUGGGGAGCGAGUGAUGAAGCAAAUACCGUGUUAUGCGGUGAUGCGCACUGUGUCGCCAGUGCGCAUUCACAGCCCAGUGUGAUCUGUGCCCGCACCCCGCAUUUGUCGAGCUAGGUUGAGCAUCCAGCCAGGACGGGUUAUGUCAGCUCUACACUCGAGACCUCCAGUGCGCCUCCACGGCCCAGUAUAUCCUGUGCCUGCCCCACGUGCCCGGCCUCCAGUGAGUCUAUCCAGCCUGGUACGCCCUGUGCCUGCUCCACGCACUUGCCCUGAGGUGCGUAUUACCAGUCUGGCGCCACCUGUGCCAGCCCCACGCAUCAGGCCUCCAGUGCGCAUUCCCAGUCC
Molecule: long non-coding RNA, 3621 nt
Filed under: Salmo salar (Atlantic salmon)
Lineage: Eukaryota; Metazoa; Chordata; Actinopteri; Salmoniformes; Salmonidae
Description: lncRNA (ENSSSAG00000090684.1)
Source: RNAcentral